UGCAUUGUCUCUGCAUGUUAAUAAGUAAAUGUAAUACAGGAUCUGGAGAGAGAGAAAGAAAAGACUUGAAGUGUUUUGUUUACAACUUUACAUUGGAGGGCUACAGAGUUCCAGUCUACGAGACCACUGAAGUAAAUGUAAUACAGGAUCCGGAGAGAGAGAAAGAAAGGACUUGAAGUGUUUUGUUUACAACUUUACAUUGGAGGGCUACAGAGUUCCAGUCUACGAGACCACUGAAGUAAAUGUAAUACAGGAUCCGGAGAGAGAGAAAGAAAAGACUUGAAGUGUUUUGUUUACAACUUUACAUUGGAGGGCUACAGAGUUCCAGUCUACGAGACCACUGAAGUAAAUGUAAUACAGGAUCCGGAGAGAGAGAAAGAAAAGACUUGAAGUGUUUUGUUUACAACUUUACAUUGGAGGGCUACAGAGUUCCAGUCUACGAGACCACUGAAGUAAAUGUAAUACAGGAUCCGGAGAGAGAGAAAGAAAAGACUUGAAGUGUUUUGUUUACAACUUUACAUUGGAGGGCUACAGAGUUCCAGUCUACGAGACCACUGGAAAGCUGAGGAAUAAGAGAUUUGAGAAGAAGACACCGUGAAGAGGAACCAACAGAUAUGGACAUUUCAGAGUAUAUUCGCAGGUCGAUUCUAGACAUCAUCUGUAUAAUCCCACAGGUCAUAUGUGCCGUUUCUGAAUAUUUUCAGGAUGUAAGGGAAGACACAAAAGUGUGCUGGGUCCUGUCUCUCACCUCGGUUAGCUCCAGUUCCGUGGGUCUCGGGGUCCUUCCGCUUCAACGCUGUCUCCCCCACGGAAUCAAGAGCUUGCUGUCCGGGAUAUUCCAACUGGCAGCAGGUGUAUCCAUCAUGAAUGCCAGUUCGAUCCACACAUACCAGUCAUACCAGAGUGGACAGGGGAUCAGUGACGUGUACUUUUAUGCAGCCUGGACUUCGUGCGGCCUGUCCUUCAUCAACAGUGUCUUAUACCUUCUAGAAUGGAAGAAUGCAGGACGAGAGUGAGAGAGAAGGGGGAAGAGAGGAGGA
Molecule: long non-coding RNA, 1040 nt
Organism: Acipenser ruthenus (sterlet)
Lineage: Eukaryota; Metazoa; Chordata; Actinopteri; Acipenseriformes; Acipenseridae
Exons: 9
Source: RefSeq, a predicted model, not a curated record